RNAcentral lists this ribosomal RNA (190 nucleotides) under uncultured Acidobacteriota bacterium. RNAcentral's name for it is "uncultured Acidobacteria bacterium partial 16S ribosomal RNA". It matches the Rfam family "Bacterial small subunit ribosomal RNA", at positions 338 to 524 of the family's 1533-position model. The record is from RNAcentral. Lineage: Bacteria; Pseudomonadati; Acidobacteriota.
CCUACGGAGGCAGCAGUGGGGAAUUUUGGGCAAUGGCCGAAAGGCUGACCCAGCAACGCCGCGUGAGGGAUGAAAUCCUUCGGGAUGUAAACCUCGUAAGUCAGGGAAGAAUAAACGUGCUUUAAUACAGUACGAUAUGACGGUACCUGACGUAAGCCCCGGCUAACUCCGUGCCAGCAGCCGCGGUAAU